RNAcentral lists this ribosomal RNA (374 nucleotides) under uncultured bacterium. RNAcentral describes it as "bacterial SSU rRNA". It matches the Rfam family "Bacterial small subunit ribosomal RNA", at positions 524 to 898 of the family's 1533-position model. The record is from RNAcentral.
UACGUAGGGGGCAAGCGUUAUCCGGAAUCACUGGGUGUAAAGGGUGCGUAGGCGGUAGGGCAAGUCAGAUGUGAAAGCCCGUGGCUCAACCACGGGACUGCAUUUGAAACUGCUUUACUAGAGUGCAGGAGAGGAAAGCGGAAUUCCUAGUGUAGCGGUGAAAUGCGUAGAUAUUAGGAAGAACACCAGUGGCGAAGGCGGCUUUCUGGACUGUAACUGACGCUGAGGCACGAAAGCGUGGGGAGCGAACAGGAUUAGAUACCCUGGUAGUCCACGCCGUAAACGAUGAGUGCUAGGUGUCGGGGCCGACAGGUCUCGGUGCUGAAGUUAACGCAUUAAGCACUCCACCUGGGGAGUACGAUCGCAAGAUUGAA